CUGACUAUGCCUCCGUACGUUCCCUCUUUCGAUCUGUCUCUCCCCUUCCGGUCCAUUCCGUUCCCCCCUCACGGUGCCCGUGUUCGUGUCUCCUAGCCUGACGUAUGUGCGUGUGUGGUUCUUCUGCAGCUCGCGGCGAGGAUUGCUGUGUCCAACCUGCCGCCAAGUGGAAAUAGUCUGUGUGGCGCUCGUAAAUAGAGAGCAUUCUGGUAGAAAGGUACAGGAAAGAAUAGGGAAACUUCUGUCAUUUUCUUUGGUCUCUGAAAAAUAAAUGGUGAUAUGGGCUGAUACAUUGCUAAAUUACAUGAUACAAAGGCACUUCUCUUUUUUGAUUUUUGGUUUACUUCGUUGUGCUACAAUGGCUCUCUUAGGAAUGUCCUUCCAUGCUUUGAUGUGCACAAUCCAGAAAGUGCAUGCAUCCAGAAACCAAAUAGGAUUUUUUAUGUGUUAUCUUCUCAUAAAUCUUGUGCUCGUCCAAUAAGAAUAAGGUUUGGUGGUAUUGCUUUUGUCUGUCACCCGGUAGAUUUCAGACUUCAAGCUAGCUGCAGUUAUUUCAAGUUAUAUGUGCAAAUCCUUGGUGUGACAUGAUUGGUAACUGACCAUGAAUACGUUGCAAUCUGAUAUGUCUAAUUCUUGAUUUAUGUGGUACCAUGGUCUAAAAAUUGGUCCUAAAGAUACAUGAUGUUUUUGUACAAAGUUGAGACAAUUAUUUUUGAACGGAGGGAGUAUUAGAUUAUUUUGUUCCUUUUUAAUUUGGUUCUAAAGAUAUAGUUUCUGAGUGAUCAUUUUGCAUCAGCCAAGCUUGCCGUUGUUACAAAUAAUUGUUCUGUUGUCCUCAAUUCACUUUCUCGGUUUUUUAAUGCUACAAGCGUUAUUGUUCCAGUUUUUUUUAGUUAUUGAUCAUGCCAUUUUUCUUUCUGCCUUUGUAGCUGAAAGAUUAGUGAGACUGACUAAAUUCUGAACAUGUUCCAUGUGAGAGAAAUACAUGUUGAUUUCAUCUUGAAAUAAUCACAGCUGAGGGACGAGGUUCGUAACUGAGGGUCAUGUGCAGAGCUGGAGGAAGAAGUUGCGAGGCUUGGAACUCUCCUUGUGAAGGGCUCAGGGACAGCAGUGAGGACUAUGCCCUUUAGUUGUGAUUGUGAUACUCCUGAUGUGCAAGUAAACACUCCUGUGAUACUCCUUAUGCUACAAUGUUGAUUGUUAGUACAGAGGUGGUGACAUUAUUUGGUUCUUUGGUAUUGAUUUCAUGAUUUGUGGUUAAUACAUGACGUAAUACAAUCCACAUUGCAUUAUAUUUCCAGUUA
Molecule: long non-coding RNA, 1304 nt
Filed under: Triticum aestivum (bread wheat)
Lineage: Eukaryota; Viridiplantae; Streptophyta; Magnoliopsida; Poales; Poaceae
Description: long non-coding RNA (TAES_LNC024578)
Source: RNAcentral